RNAcentral lists this ribosomal RNA (253 nucleotides) under uncultured bacterium. RNAcentral's name for it is "partial 16S ribosomal RNA". It matches the Rfam family "Bacterial small subunit ribosomal RNA", at positions 524 to 776 of the family's 1533-position model. The record is from RNAcentral.
UACGGGGGGGGCAAGCGUUGUUCGGAAUUACUGGGCGUAAAGGGCUCGUAGGCGGCCAACUAAGUCAGACGUGAAAUCCCUCGGCUUAACCGGGGAACUGCGUCUGAUACUGGAUGGCUUGAGUUCGGGAGAGGGAUGCGGAAUUCCAGGUGUAGCGGUGAAAUGCGUAGAUAUCUGGAGGAACACCGGUGGCGAAGGCGGCAUCCUGGACCGAUACUGACGCUGAUGAGCGAAAGCCAGGGGAGCAAACAGG